This 497-nucleotide ribosomal RNA is filed under the name uncultured bacterium. RNAcentral describes it as "partial 16S ribosomal RNA". It matches the Rfam family "Bacterial small subunit ribosomal RNA", at positions 28 to 507 of the family's 1533-position model. The record is from RNAcentral.
GAUGAACGCUGGCGGCGUGCCUAAUACAUGCAAGUCGAGCGAACAGAUGAGGAGCUUGCUCCUCUGACGUUAGCGGCGGACGGGUGAGUAACACGUGGAUAACCUACCUAUAGGACUGGGAUAACUUCGGGAAACCGGAGCUAAUACCGGAUAAUAUAUUGAACCGCAUGGUUCAAUAGUGAAAGACGGUUUUGCUGUCACUUAUAGAUGGAUCCGCGCCGCAUUAGCUAGUUGGUAAGGUAACGGCUUACCAAGGCAACGAUGCGUAGCCGACCUGAGAGGGUGAUCGGCCACACUGGAACUGAGACACGGUCCAGACUCCUACGGGAGGCAGCAGUAGGGAAUCUUCCGCAAUGGGCGAAAGCCUGACGGAGCAACGCCGCGUGAGUGAUGAAGGUCUUCGGAUCGUAAAACUCUGUUAUUAGGGAAGAACAAAUGUGUAAGUAACUAUGCACGUCUUGACGGUACCUAAUCAGAAAGCCACGGCUAACUACGUG